CCUACGGGAGGCAGCAGUGGGGAAUAUUGCACAAUGGGCGAAAGCCUGACGCAGCGACGCCGCGUGAGGGAUGAAGGUCUUCGGAUCGUAAAGCUCUGUCAGCAGGGAAGAACGGUCACUUUGCUAAUCAGCAGUGAAUUGACAGUCCCUGCACAGGAAGCACCGGCUAACUCCGUGCCAACAGCCGCGGUAAUACGGAGGGUGCGAGCGUUAAUCGGGAUUACAGGGCGUAAAGCGCUCGUAGGCGGGAUGUCAAGUCCAGGGUGAAAUCCCCGCGCUCAACGCGGGAACUGCUGUUGAAACUGGCAAACUGGAGUGUGGGAGAGGAGAGUGGAAUUCCAGGUGUAGGAGUGAAAUGCGUAGAUAUUGGGAGGAACACCAGUGGCGAAGGCGACUAGCUGGAAUAUAACUGACGCUGAGGAGCGAAAGCGUGGGGAGCAAACAGGAUUAGAUACCCCAGUAGUC
This 465-nucleotide ribosomal RNA is filed under the name uncultured bacterium. RNAcentral's name for it is "partial 16S ribosomal RNA". It matches the Rfam family "Bacterial small subunit ribosomal RNA", at positions 338 to 795 of the family's 1533-position model. The record is from RNAcentral.